Molecule: ribosomal RNA, 507 nt
Filed under: uncultured bacterium
Lineage: Bacteria
Description: partial 16S ribosomal RNA
Source: RNAcentral
GGAGUUAGCCGGUGCUUCUUCUGUGAGUGAUGUCCUUCCUGCCGGCUAUUAACCCGCAGGCCUUCUUCCUCACUGAAAGUGCUUUACAACCCGAAGGCCUUCUUCACACACGCGGCAUGGCUGGAUCAGGGUUGCCCACAUUGUCCAAUAUUCCCCACUGCUGCCUCCCGUAGGAGUCUGGGCCGUGUCUCAGUCCCAGUGUGGCUGAUCAUCCUCUCAGACCAGCUACGGAUCGUCGCCUUGGUGAGCCGUUACCUCACCAACCAGCUAAUCCGACAUAGGCUCAUCCGAUAGCGCGAGGCCCGAAGGUCCCCCGCUUUCCCCCGUAGGGCGUAUGCGGUAUUAGCCUGGGUUUCCCCAGGUUAUCCCCCACUACCGGGCAGAUUCCUAUGCAUUACUCACCCGUCCGCCGCUCGCCACCAGGGAGCAAGCUCCCCGUGCUGCCGCUCGACUUGCAUGUGUUAGGCCUGCCGCCAGCGUUCAAUCUGAACCAAGAUCAAAUUCUGA